This 499-nucleotide ribosomal RNA is filed under the name uncultured bacterium. Its description in RNAcentral is "partial 16S ribosomal RNA". It matches the Rfam family "Bacterial small subunit ribosomal RNA", at positions 28 to 507 of the family's 1533-position model. The record is from RNAcentral.
GACGAACGCUGGCGGCGUGCCUAAUACAUGCAAGUCGAGCGGACUUUCAAGAAGCUUGCUUUUUGAAAGUUAGCGGCGGACGGGUGAGUAACACGUGGGCAACCUGCCUGCAAGACGGGGAUAACUCCGGGAAACCGGGGCUAAUACCGGAUAAUAUCUUCCUUCGCAUGAAGGAAGGUUGAAAGGCGGCGCAAGCUGCCGCUUGCAGAUGGGCCCGCGGCGCAUUAGCUAGUUGGUGAGGUAACGGCUCACCAAGGCGACGAUGCGUAGCCGACCUGAGAGGGUGAGCGGCCACACUGGGAGUGGGACACGGCCCAGACUCCUUCGGGGGGCAGCAGUAGGGAAUCGGCCGCAAUGGACGAAAGUCUGACGGGACAACGCCGCGUGAGCGAAGAAGGUCGUCGGGUCGUAAAGCUCUGUUGUCGGGGAAGAACAAGUACCGUUCGAACAGGGCGGUACCUUGACGGUACCUGACCAGAAAGCCACGGCUAACUACGUG